UGAUCAGCCACCACCGGGACUGAGACACGCCCGGACUCUACGGAGGCAGCAGUGGGGAAUAUGGACAAUGGGGGAAACCUGAUCCAGCCAUGCCGCGUGUGUGAAGAAGCCUUUUGGUUGUAAAGCACUUUAAGCAGUGAAGAAGACUCUUCGGUUAAUACCCGGAGACGAUGACAUUAGCUGCAGAAUAAGCACCGGCUAACUCUGUGCCAGCAGCCGCGGUAAUACAGAGGGUGCAAGCGUUAAUCGGAAUUACUGGGCGUAAAGCGAGCGUAGGUGGCUUGAUAAGUCAGAUGUGAAAUCCCCGGGCUUAACCUGGGAACUGCAUCUGAAACUGUUAGGCUAGAGUAGGUGAGAGGGAAGUAGAAUUUCAGGUGUAGCGGUGAAAUGCGUAGAGAUCUGAAGGAAUACCGAUGGCGAAGGCAGCUUCCUGGCAUCAUACUGACACUGAGGCUCGAAAGCGUGGGUAGCAAACAGGAUUAGAUACCCUGGUAGUCCACGCCGUAAACGAUGUCUACUAGUCGUUGGGUCCCUUGAGGACUUAGUGACGCAGCUAACGCAAUAAGUAGACCGCCUGGGGAGUACGGCCGCAAGGUUAAAACUCAAAUGAAUUGACGGGGGCCCGCACAAGCGGUGGAGCAUGUGGUUUAAUUCGAUGCAACGCGAAGAACCUUACCUGGUCUUGACAUAUCUAGAAUCCUGCAGAGAUGCGGGAGUGCCUUCGGGAAUUAGAAUACAGGUGCUGCAUGGCUGUCGUCAGCUCGUGUCGUGAGAUGUUGGGUUAAGUCCCGCAACGAGCGCAACCCUUGUCCUUAGUUACCAGCGGGUUAAGCCGGGAACUCUAAGGAUACUGCCAGUGACAAACUGGAGGAAGGCGGGGACGACGUCAAGUCAUCAUGGCCCUUACGACCAGGGCUACACACGUGCUACAAUGGUAGGUACAGAGGGCAGCUACACAGCGAUGUGAUGCGAAUCUCAAAAAGCCUAUCGUAGUCCAGAUUGGAGUCUGCAACUCGACUCCAUGAAGUAGGAAUCGCUAGUAAUCGCGGAUCAGAAUGCCGCGGUGAAUACGUUCCCCGGGCCCUUGUAC
RNAcentral lists this ribosomal RNA (1090 nucleotides) under uncultured Psychrobacter sp. RNAcentral describes it as "bacterial SSU rRNA". It matches the Rfam family "Bacterial small subunit ribosomal RNA", at positions 301 to 1386 of the family's 1533-position model. The record is from RNAcentral. Lineage: Bacteria; Pseudomonadati; Pseudomonadota; Gammaproteobacteria; Moraxellales; Moraxellaceae.